Long non-coding RNA from Brassica rapa (field mustard), 7117 nucleotides. RefSeq lists it as uncharacterized. The record is from RefSeq and is a predicted model, not a curated record. Lineage: Eukaryota; Viridiplantae; Streptophyta; Magnoliopsida; Brassicales; Brassicaceae.
AAUAAAUAUUAUAAGUCAAGUUGCAUAUAUGAUUUUAAUUUUUAUCGGGAAAAUUUUACUUUUAUACUUUCUUUGGUACCACUUUUCAUAUAUACACAUAGAAGGAAGAUAUUUUCAGAAAUAUCUAAAUUAUUAAUAGAAAAAAAUACAAAAAUAACCCUCUCACAAUUCUAAACUUAUUUUCUAUCUCUUUCUUUCUCGAGAGAAAGCUUUGACAGACGAGAUCGAGCGACGGUGACGGAAAUGCGACGGCGACGGAAACGCGACGGCGAUGGCGACGAGAUCGAGCGACGUUGACGGCAACGAGAUCGAGACUCAAAACCUCAAAACGUUGAAUCCUCAGAAAGAAUCACAAGUUCUUUCGGAGUGGAAAUUAGUACUCUUUUACUCAAGUUGGAGAUGAUUUCAAAUUGGGGCGUUGGAUCAGCUUUUAUUCUUUUCUUUCACAUGUUCCCGACACUCAUGGAAGAAGCAUGUGUUCAAGCUUAUAUGAGAGCCACAACCCUGCCAGCACAUAUUUGCUUCGAUCUACAAUGAUUGCAGAGUCUGUUCCCUUUAGCAGUGAUAAAGACGCAAGUGAAGGCUCCACCUCAGCUGUAGAAAACAGUGAGGUGUUGUUAGAGUGUCGAUGGUAAGCCAUGGAUUUGUUUAGAACCUUAUUUACUUCAUGAGAAAAUCCCGUGGUCACGAAUGUGCUUGUACGUGACAUUUGGGUCUUUGAGAAGUCUCUAUUCCACACAGGAGCUUGCUGGCGUCUCUGUGGCCGUAUUGAAUUUCCUUCAAAGGAUAAAAUCCAACCUGCCCUCUGAUUUUUUUUUGCUGAGUUAGUAUCUUUACACAAUUUACAGUCUUCUAGUCUGUGUUGCAACUAAAGGAUGAAUGUUGUCUGAUUAGGUUCUAGAUAAUCUUAUAAACAAUUUAUAAAGACUUAUAAAACAAUUUGUAAAGUAUAUAAAUAAUUUAUAAAUGCUUAUGAAAACGUUAAAGUCUAUACAAUUUAUAAGGUUUAUAUAGGUUUACGAAUCAAUUAGAAAAUCCCUAAAUCAUUCAUAAGAAUCUAUAACCAUUUAGAAAGGCUUAUAAAACAAUUUAUAAGGUUUACAAGAAUAUGUAAGUAAUCAAUAAGAAUUUAUAAGAGUUUGUAAAUAUUUUAUAAAGUUUAUAAAAAACAGUUUAUGAAGUUUGUAAAUCAUCUAUAAAGUUUGUAAAUCAUUUAUAAAUGUUUAUAAAUUAUUUGUAAGAGUAUAUAAACCAUUUAUAAAGGCUUAUAAAGAAGUUUAUAAAGUCUAUAAACCGUUUAUAAAUAUUUAUAAAAGAAAUCAGUUAGAAGAUUUUUAAAUCAUUUAUAAGAGUCUAUAACCAAGAAAGGCUUACAAGACAAUUUAUAAGGUUUGUAAAAUAAUUUAUAAAGUUUAAUUAUAAAGGUAUGUAAAUAAUUUAUAAGGGUUUAUAAAACGUUUAUAAAAGUUCAUAAUCGGUAUAUAAAUUGGUUAAAAACAAAUAAUAAUUUAUAGAAACUAGAGCAAAUAGAUUUUAAAAAUUGGUUUAUAAUUUUUGUUUAUAAAAGUUCAUAAUCGGUAUAACAAGUAUAUCAUUUAUAAGAGUUUAUAAGUAAUCAUUAUAAGAGAUAUAUGUACCGUUUAUAAGAGUCUAAAUUCAUUUAUAAAAUUAUAAACUAUUUAUAAAGUUUAUUAGUCACUUAUAAGGUUUUAUAAAAUUUUAUAAUUUAAUUACAAGAGUCCACAAAUCCUUUUAUAAAGUUUUAUAAUGCUUCGUAUAUAAAUCAGUUACAAGAGUUCAUAAAUCAUCAUUUUAUAAGAGCUUGUAAUGUAAGAGUUUAUAAAAUGUAUAAGUCCUUAUAAAUCAUUUUUUAAGUGCUAAAAAAUACUUUUGUAAAGGUUGUUAAAUAAUUUAUUAUCAGUUACAAAAGUGUAUAGAUCAUUUUAAAUAACUCCAACAUUCACUACUCCAAAACUUUGAUAUAAGGGUAUAAAAUUUAAUAUAUUUUAUAAGGCCUUGUAAAUUUUAAUGUAUAAAGCUUAAAAUUAUUGUUUCUAAAUAAUUUGUUUACAGAUUACAUCGCCUAUAAAUAAUUAUUCGCAAGAGAUGAUUAAAACAAUUAUAAGCAUUAUCUAUGGAUUCAUAAACAAUAAUGUAUUAGAAUUUAUUAAACAUCACUUAUAAACCUUCGUAAAACUCAGAUAUACUAGUUUAUAAAGUAUUAUAUAAACUCAUAGAUGAAAUUUAAACACAAAAAAUGAUAUGUAAAGGCUGAUAAAUAACUUAUAACCCCUUAUAUAUCUUAUAAUAAGAUUUUAGAAAGCAUUAUGAAAAUUAAUGAUAAAAAGUUUAAAAAGUAAAAUCGGUGAUAUAAAUACAUGAAGAUGCUUGUUACUAAUUUUUUUAAAAAAGAAACUAGAGUAAAUGUAAAGUACAAAUGAUUUACAACUUACAAUCACUUAUAAGAACACGUGUUACACAUAUAUAUUACAGAAAGACAUGUGUUUUGUUUCUCUUAUAUGUGUCAAGAACAUAUAUAUUACAUAUAAAAACACGUAUCUUCGCUCUCUUUCUGCAACUCCAAUCUUCUUGAACAUUGUGUUUCUCUCUGAAAACAUAAAAACAUAAGGCUAAAUAUAUAUAUUGUUUUACAGUUUCUUUAAUAAGGCCUUAUAAAUAUAAAAGUUGUAAUAAAUACCUCAAGGGGGUUACUAUUUCCAGCAAUAUGCAAAUCAUGAGUAAUUAAAACUUCAUCUCAUGUCUGAAUCGUAUUUGACACAAUCCUUGAUGAUAAAUGAGUUCUUCUCUGAAACAUUAACAAAAAACAUAAAGCUAAUAGUGAAUCUCCAAAUGACAUCAUUAUAUUUAUAAGGUUUUAUAAAUGUAAAAGUUGUAAUAAGUAUUGCUAUGGCAUACUUCCAGCAAUAAGCAAAUCUUGAGUACUACAUACUAUCUUGUAAAAUAACUAACUGAUAACUAUCAUAAACGAAAACCUUAACAAGGAGUUCGAUAUUGUUACCUUAAUUGUUACACAUAGAUGAAUGCCUCCAUUCUCUUGAAGUUUGUUCAGAUAUGAUGUUACUUGACAAUCAUUCCUAAUAAAUACCAGAGGAAGCUCUUUGAACUAAAGUUUAACUUUGAAGAUGAGACAUAGCUAAGAUUUAUACUGUUUAACUUGGAAGGUGAGACAUCGAUUCCAAAAUCUUCUAAAACAACCCCAAUCAAAUCAUUGUAGCUGAUAUCUUCAAAAAUCAUACUAAUAGAAGAUCCCCUUUCAUCAUCGACUAUGAAAUCCCAAUGAAUUCCAUUUAUUAGUUUCCAUUCUCCACGUAUAGAACACAAUUCGAUCGUCAUAAUUCUAAUUAUAAGAACAUGGGGAUUAGAGAAGGAAUGAUCAACAAGAUAUAUCAAAAAAAAAAAAACAUAACACUAUGUUCUUCAUCGAUAAAAAUUUAUAAGGUUUUAUAAAUCUGAGAUUUGAACAUUUCAUGAGAAAAUUUUUGUCUCCUUCCCAAAAACCGAUCGAUCUUGAGAAACCAGGCAAAAAUUACAGAAAAGAGACAAAAAUCACUAUCUAUUAUCCUCUGACCUUUUUUAUGCGUUCGUGAAGAGAUAUUGUUAUGUUCGUUUGAGCUUGUAGUCUUCGCCAAAUCUCGUCGGACGUCAACGUCGUCGGAAUCGUCAAAUCUCGCCGGGGUAAUCGCUGGAGUCAUCAAAUCUCGCCGGAAUCGUCGAAUCUCUCGUUGAAGCCGUCGAUCUAUUUGGAGAUUUUUAAAAUUCUUGUUGGAGAAGACAUAUGUUUAUGUUUGAGUAGAUAAGGAUAUAAUGUUACAUUACCUAUUAAAAUUUUAAUGGUAAAAUUGGUUAGUGUAAAGUUGAAAAGUGUUAUUAGUGGCAAUUCUCCAUUUUUAUCUUAUAUAUAUUUUUCUCAUAAUUGUAUCUUAUUUGCAGGUAUUCUCUUCCAAUAUUGUCAAAUCAUCUUCCCAAAAAUGUAAGAUUUACAUCUAUUCAUUUUAAAUAUGAAUUUUUGUGUUUAUAUUGAACGAAAUUUAUAGAUUCAAACUUUAUGUUUUUACUUUGCUACUAUUUUAGGUUAAAAGACUAUUUUGAAAUCUUUGCGAGAACAAACUAUUUUCAGAUUUUCUAAAUUUACAUUUUAAAAUUUUCUGUUAGUGUGGAAAAACAAUAAAGUCUACUAUAAAAUUAAGGUUAGUAGACUUCGACUAAAGUCUACUAAACCAUAAACAUUAAGUAUACAUUAUAAGAAGUCUACUAAAAUAUGAUUUAAAUUUUAUAUCUUAUUUUUUUCUCAUAAUUUUAUCUUAUUUUUCAGGUACUCUUUUCUAAGAUUUCAUUUAAAGCACCGAGAUUAUGAAUAGUCAAAAACACUCUUGAACUUUUUAAUUAAUUGCUUUGUAAUCAUUUAUCAUUAUAAUAUAUUAAUUUGUAGAUAAUUCUUUGAUGCAUAAUCUAUAAACAUUGUAUUCAUUUUUAGUUGUGUUUCACUUGUAUGAUAUUAUUAAUUUUUGUUAACUAUUUAUUUUUCAAAGAUACUCUAUAAUCAACCAAACAAUUAAAACCACCAUAAACUUAAACAAUAACUAACACACAUGUGAGAAGAAGAAAAUCUAUACAAAGUAUCAUCAAGACAUCAUCCUUUGUUUUCUUUUAGAGAUUUUCAAGACAUCAUCCUUUGCAUUAGUAUUAGUCUUCUUUAAGAGAUUUUCAACACAUUGAACAAAUACUUCAACUCCAAGACAACACAGAGACUCACAUAUGAGUCUUCUUUUACAUAAGACUACUAAAGAAGUCUACUUUCUGUCAAGCAGACUAAUAUGUAAGUCUACACAACAGAAAUCAAAUGUGUAAUAUAAAACUCCAAGAUAUAAAAAGUAAGACCUACAAAUUAACAUCAGUUUAUCACAUAAGACAACAUCCAAAACAACAAUACAAUUCAUAAAUUCCACACAUAAGACAACUCAUAGAUUCAACACAUAAGACAACAUUGAAAGCAGUAAGACAACUCAUAAGUUCAACACAUAAUACUAACACAUGUUUAGCUUGGAAAAUUUACAUAAUUAGAGAAUAAAUAUUGAAUGUUUGAUAAAAUUAUAAUUGUAGACUUACAAAUACGUUUACACGUAUUAACUAACAACAUAGUUAAAUCAAAAUUUUGAUAGUUUCAUAAUUAUAACAGAUUUUCUUUUCAAAAUCGCUCAAGAUCAUUAGGAUUAAUUAACACACACACCGUCAAACAAAAAAUCUUGAAAAACUUAAAUUAAUAAUACACAAAUUCACUUUAAAUAUACUAGAUUUUUUCUCCGCGCUACGCGCGGAUUAUGUCUUUUAAAUUUACGUUUAAAUAACUUUCAUACAUUUAAAAAUAUUAAGUAUGUGCAAUUGAAAAGAGUUGAAAGAUCAUAUUUAUGUAUUGUGUCUUUCAAGCAACUUAAUUUUUGGAAAAACAAUUUUCUAAAAGUCGGAUCCUAAACCAAAUACCAUAUGAUACUUUAGAAUAUUUAAUAAGUCAGCAAACAACAUUACUGAAUAAAAUAUUAUCUGUAAUCUAUAUGAAUUUUAAAACAUGUUUUAUUAAUAUGAGUUGUAUCCAUCCUCACUCCAUGGUAGCCACUCCUAAAUUGAUCUUCGAAUAUAUAGAACCUCUAAACUUAUCCAUCAUGUCCUCCAUUAGCUAAAUUGAUAUUUAAAUUAUUUUUUCAAAAAACGUUUAUUAGUUUAACUAUUUAAUGGAAUAUUGUUGAUUUAAAAUUAUAUAUAAAUACUUUUAAUAGAAUAUAGCCUCAAGUUUUAAAAUCAUAUAUGUUUUCAGUUCAUGUAGUCUAUAUUCUUCAGCAUUUUAAGACAUAUAUUCUGUUAAUUAUAUUACAUCAUGAAUUUUCAAAUUUGUAGUAUAUAUAGUUUAAAAAAUAUUGUUAUAUUAAGUGAAUUUAUUUCAAGGAUUUUUUAUUUGUUAAUGUACCUUAUUAUAUUGAUACAUAAUUACAAUUUUUUUUAUUAAUUUUCAUUUUUGAAAUUUUGAUAUUUUAAAAUUUUUAAUAGAUACUGAUUAUAUAUUUUUUAUUGAUAAUUUUAAAUUCUAUGUGAAAACGUCCCUAGUCAUAUAGCCUCAACUUAAGGAAAUGUUUGUAGCUAAUAGUUUAAAGUGUUGGGAAAUCAUAUUUUUUUAGAAAAUAUUGCAUUUUUGGGAAUUUAUUAUUUUUGUUAGUAAAGGGUUUAUGUUAAUUUUAUAAAACAAUUUAUAGAUCUCAAGUCAAUUUUUAAUAUUCUUUCUUUUGUUUGAUUACCUUGUUUUAUAUGAGAUAUAUUUUAUUUCUAAAUAAUUCUUUUUUUUUGAAAUUUUUUGACAUUUUUAAGAUAUUAAAUUAUAAUGUUGAUUUGACAUAUUUUGAUUGAUGGUGUUAAAUCGCAUAUGGACAUUUUUUUUACUUGUAUGUUUAAUUUCUAUAGAGUAUAUAUUAUGUAUUGCUAUUUGCUACAGAUGGCGAUAGAGUUUUUCAUAUUUUAAACUAAGCUGCAUCAUUAUCUGAAUUCUGCAGAGGAAGAAUAAUUGACUAUAUAUUAGAUACUCCUCAUAUGACUGUUUACAAUAUAAAAUAGCAGUGAUGGAGGAAGAAGAAUUGACUGUCAAACAGCAGAGGUAAUGUCAUGAGGAAUACCAUAUUGUUCUUAAGAUGAGGGUCAUUAGUAAUAGUUUUAUCCUUUUGUUAUUGUAGCAAAGUUCGUGGCACCAUCAAAGAUAUGGAACAAACGCGCAGCUAUAUGAUUGCAAGUUGAAAUGGCGGCAUCAGUUGUCGUCAGCUCUACAGUCAGUAAUGCACAGGUAAAAUGAAUGCAAGUAUUAGCCAUACUUUACAAAGUACGUAUCAUUUCCAAUCAUCCGUAUAUCUCUAGUUGCGGGCUGUUCGAGUAACACAUACAUGUGAUGUAAGUAAUGAGUUCUGAAUGUAUAUAAGAUGAAUACUUCAGAGUGAGAUCCAUAUGACUUGAUUGUUGCCUUCAAUAUUCAAAACCUUAAAUUCCCGAUGAUACUUUAAUCCCUUCCGUCUAUAGUAUCUCAGCCAGUUUUCUAGCAAAACAACCUGAACAUGAAAAAAAA